GAUGAACGCUGGCGGCGUGCUUAACACAUGCAAGUCGAACGGAAAGGCUCCUGCUUGCCGGGGUACUCGAGUGGCGAACGGGUGAGUAACACGUGGGUGAUCUGCCCUGCACUUCGGGAUAAGCCUGGGAAACUGGGUCUAAUACCGGAUAGGACGAUGGUUUGGAUGCCAUUGUGGAAAGUUUUUCGGUGUGGGAUGAGCUCGCGGCCUAUCAGCUUGUUGGUGGGGUAAUGGCCUACCAAGGCGUCGACGGGUAGCCGGCCUGAGAGGGUGUACGGCCACAUUGGGACUGAGAUACGGCCCAGACUCCCACGGGAGGCAGCAGUGGUGAAUAUUGCACAAUGGGCGCAAGCCUGAUGCAGCGACGCCGCGUGGGGGAUGACGGCCUUCGGGUUGUAAACUCCUUUCGCUAGGGACGAAGCGCAAGUGACGGUACCUGGAGAAGAAGCACCGGCUAACUACGUG
This 465-nucleotide ribosomal RNA is filed under the name uncultured bacterium. RNAcentral's name for it is "partial 16S ribosomal RNA". It matches the Rfam family "Bacterial small subunit ribosomal RNA", at positions 28 to 507 of the family's 1533-position model. The record is from RNAcentral.